This 440-nucleotide ribosomal RNA is filed under the name uncultured bacterium. Its description in RNAcentral is "partial 16S ribosomal RNA". It matches the Rfam family "Bacterial small subunit ribosomal RNA", at positions 338 to 795 of the family's 1533-position model. The record is from RNAcentral.
CCUACGGGAGGCAGCAGUAGGGAAUAUUGCUCAAUGGGGGAAACCCUGAACCAGCAACGUCGCGUGCAGGAUGAAGGUUUUCGGAUUGUAAACUCCUUUUGUUAGAGAAGAUAAUGACGGUAUCUAACGAAUAAGCACCGUCUAACUCCGUGCCAGCAGCCGCGGUAAUACGGAGGGUGCAAGCGUUACUCGGAAUCACUGGGCGUAAAGAGCGCGUAGGCGGGAUAGCAAGUCAGAUGUGAAAUCCUAUGGCUUAACCAUAGAACUGCAUUUGAAACUGUUAUUCUAGAGUAUGGGAGAGGUAGGUGGAAUUCUUGGUGUAGGGGUAAAAUCCGUAGAGAUCAAGAGGAAUACUCAUUGCGAAGGCGACCUGCUGGAGCAUAACUGACGCUGAUGCGCGAAAGCGUGGGGAGCAAACAGGAUUAGAUACCCUAGUAGUC